UGGCGGCCGUAGCGCGGUGGUCCCACCUGACCCCAUGCCGAACUCAGAAGUGAAACGCCGUAGCGCCGA
Molecule: ribosomal RNA, 69 nt
Filed under: Escherichia coli DEC9B
Lineage: Bacteria; Pseudomonadati; Pseudomonadota; Gammaproteobacteria; Enterobacterales; Enterobacteriaceae
Source: RNAcentral